AUUGAACGCUGGCGGCAGGCCUAACACAUGCAAGUCGGACGGUAGCACAGAGAGCUUGCUCUCGGGUGACGAGUGGCGGACGGGUGAGUAAUGUCUGGGGAUCUGCCCGAUAGAGGGGGAUAACCACUGGAAACGGUGGCUAAUACCGCAUAACGUCGCAAGACCAAAGAGGGGGACCUUCGGGCCUCUCACUAUCGGAUGAACCCAGAUGGGAUUAGCUAGUAGGCGGGGUAACGGCCCACCUAGGCGACGAUCCCUAGCUGGUCUGAGAGGAGGACCAGCCACACUGGAACUGAGACACGGUCCAGACUCCUACGGGAGGCAGCAGUGGGGAAUAUUGCACAAUGGGCGCAAGCCUGAUGCAGCCAUGCCGCGUGUAUGAAGAAGGCCUUCGGGUUGUAAAGUACUUUCGGCGGGGAGGAAGGCGAUAAGGUUAAUAACCUUGUCGAUUGACGUUACCCGCAGAAGAAGCACCGGCUAACUCCGUGCCAGCAGCCGCUGUAA
Molecule: ribosomal RNA, 504 nt
Filed under: uncultured bacterium
Lineage: Bacteria
Description: partial 16S ribosomal RNA
Rfam family: Bacterial small subunit ribosomal RNA
Source: RNAcentral